GAUUUUUCAUUUGUUUCCUUCUUCUUUGUUUUGGAGAGUCCCCGGACACACGUGUCGCGAAGGGG
Molecule: non-coding RNA, 65 nt
Filed under: Tetraselmis sp. GSL018
Lineage: Eukaryota; Viridiplantae; Chlorophyta; Chlorodendrophyceae; Chlorodendrales; Chlorodendraceae
Source: RNAcentral